This 200-nucleotide long non-coding RNA is filed under the name Physcomitrium patens. RNAcentral describes it as "long non-coding RNA (PPAT_LNC011064)". Lineage: Eukaryota; Viridiplantae; Streptophyta; Bryopsida; Funariales; Funariaceae. The record is from RNAcentral.
UCCUGCCAUGAGGCAGCCACAUCUUUGCUUUAUUAUUCCUCCAAUGAAUCCCAAAGCAGUGGCACACACAUUUUGCAGCCUCCUCCCAAUGCCUUUUUUUCUUUUUCUUUCUUUUUUUUUUUUUUUGCUGCUGGGCAGACCUCUGCUGGGCAGCUUGGGGGAGAAAAAUAUGUUGCCACUGAUGGUACUAAAGUUAGCCC